This 4982-nucleotide long non-coding RNA is filed under the name Salmo salar (Atlantic salmon). Its description in RNAcentral is "lncRNA (ENSSSAG00000103501.1)". The record is from RNAcentral. Lineage: Eukaryota; Metazoa; Chordata; Actinopteri; Salmoniformes; Salmonidae.
GGACUAACCAUGUACCUGUACUGUCUGGAUAUAUGGACUAACCAUGUACCUGUACUGUCUGGAUAUAUGGACUAACCAUGUACCUGUACUGUCUGGAUAUAUGGACUAACCAUGUACCUGUACUGGUAUUCAACAGAGGCCCUGAAUUAUGACUGAUGAGCUGAUAUACAACAGACCAGACUGGUUUGGGCUUUUCAUAAUGUAGUAACUCAUGGUUUUGCUGUAUCAUCCAGGAUCAAUACAUGAGGUCUGAUAUGGUGCUUUUGUACCAAACACAUGGGUGGCCUCUGACCUGGAAGAGCUGGUGGCUGUAGGGAGGCUGGGCAGUAUGGAGCAGGUCUGGUGGCUGUAGGGAGGCUGGGCAGUAUGGAGCAGGUCUGGUGGCUGUAGGGAGGCUGGGCAGUAUGGAGCAGGUCUGGUGGCUGUAGGGAGGCUGGGCAGUAUGGAGCAGGUCUGGUGGCUGUAGGGAGGCUGGGCAGUAUGUAUGGAGCAGGUCUGGUGGCCUCUGACCUGGAAGAGCUGGUGGCUGUAGGGAGGCUGGGCAGUAUGUAUGGAGCAGGUCUGGUGGCUGUAGGGAGGCUGGGCAGUAUGGAGCAGGUCUGGUGGUUGUAGGGAGGCUGGGCAGUAUGUAUGGAGCAGGUCUGGUGGCCUCUGGCCUGGAAGAGCUGGUGGCUGUAGGGAGGCUGGGCAGUAUGGAGCAGGUCUGGUGGCUGUAGGGAGGCUGGGCAGUAUGGAGCAGGUCUGGUGGCUGUAGGGAGGCUGGGCAGUAUGGAGCAGGUCUGGUGGCCUCAUUAGGUCAUGUUCCACUAAUAUUAUCAGGACCAAAGCUUCUCAGCCCCCUCCUCUCCCUGUUCACUCAGAACCUGGUAGAACCUCAGAACCUGGUAGAACCUCAGAACCUGGUAGAACCUUCGAACCUCAGAACCUGGUAAUGCCUGGUAGAACCUCAGAACCUGGUAGAACCUUCGAACCUCAGAACCUGGUAAUGCCUGGUAGAACCUCAGAACCUGGUAGAACCUCAGAACCUGGUAGAACCUUCGAACCUGGUAGAACCUCAGAACCUGGUAGAAUCUAGUAGAACCCGAGUGAACCCAGUAGAACCCGAUAGAGCUCUGUGUAGUCGAGAGGGCUAGCAGCAGGUAGGUCGUCCCAUAGAAAGUGUAGUGGUUCGGUGAGUGUUGAGGUGUUGAAGCAGGUAGGUUAGCGGGUCUCAGGCCCACAUCAGACCGUGCCAUAGCUAACAACGUGGUGUCUAAGGAGAUGUUCGUGUGUGCAGAGCUAGGAUUGAAACCCCCUAAGCUGUCCUGGAAGAUGCUUUACUGCAGGACAAACCCAGCCUCAGAUCACUGGCUGUCCGGUGGGUUUUACCUAAAUCAUGCAUCGAUGUCAUUUGGAAGUCUGCAGGACAGAGUUGUGUGUCGCGUAAGACCUCAGACUUCCUGUCGGCUACUAAGUCUGACAGCAAUGCCAGAGAGUUAUUCAUAAGACUUCCAGGUCAGAGGUUAAAGGUUAGAUGGUCAGUUGGUUCAGGCUCAGACACUCAAUCUGACACCUGUCUAUCAAACUAACACUACCAAACUAGCAACCCAAACCCCUAGCCCUACCUCACUAGCCCUACCUCACCCUGUCCCCUAGCCCUACCUCACUAACCCUACCUCACCCUGACCCCUAGCCCUACCUCCCUAGCUCUACCUCACCCUGUCCCCUAGCCCUACCUCACUAGCCCUACCUCACCCUGACCCCUAGCCCUACCUCAGUAACCCUACCUCACCCUGACCCCUAGCCCUACCUCACCCUGUCCCCUAGCCCUACCUCACCCUGUCCCCUAGCCCUACCUCACCCUGACCCCUAGCCCUACCUCACCCUGUCCCCUAGCCCUACCUCACCCUGACCCCUACCUCACUAACCCUACCUCACCCUGACCCCUAGCCCUACCUCACCCUGACCCCUAGCCCUACCUCACUAGCCCUACCUCACCCUGACCCCUAGCCCUACCUCAGUAACCCUACCUCACCCUGACCCCUAGCCCUACCUCACCCUGUCCCCUAGCCCUACCUCACUAACCCUGACCCCUAGCCCUACCUCACUAACCCUACCUCACCCUGACCCCUAGCCCUACCUCACCCUGACCCCUAGCCCUACCUCACUAACCCUGACCCCUAGCCCUACCUCACUAACCCUACCUCACCCUGACCCCUAGCCCUACCUCACCCUGACCCCUAGCCCUACCUCACUAACCCUACCUCACCCUGACCCCUAGUCCUACCUCACCCUGACCCCUAGCCCUACCUCACUAACCCUGUCCCCUAGCCCUACCUCACUAACCCUACCUCACCCUGACCACUAGCCCUACCUCACCCUGACCCCUAGCCCUACCUCACCCUGACCCCUAGUCCUACCUCAGGGUCAGAGAACACUGAGAAGACCUGUCAACCUCAAUGUAUUGGGAGGAACAUCCACACAACCAUCUCCUAACAUCCACACAACCAUCUCCUAACAUCCACACAACCAUCACAGAACAGCCACACAACCAUCACAGAACAUUCAUACAACUAUCACAGAACAUUCACACAACCAUCACAGAACAUUCACACAACCAUCACAGAACAUUCACACAACCAUCACAGAACAUUCACACAACCAUCACUGAACAUCCACACAACCAUCUCCUAACAUUCAUACAACCAUCUCCUAACAUCCACACAACCAUCACAGAACAUCCACACAACCAUCUCCUAACAUUCAUACAACAUCACAGAACAUCCACACAACCAUCACAGAACAUUCAUACAACCAUCACAGAACAUUCACACAACCAUCACAGAACAUUCACACAACCAUCACAGAACAUUCACACAACCAUCACAGAACAUUCAUACAACAUCUAACAUCCACACAACCAUCUCAUAACAUCCAUACAACCAUCACAGAACAUUCAUACAACCAUCACAGAGCAUUCAUACAACCAUCACAGAACAUCCAUACAACCAUCACAGAACAUCAUACAACCAUCACAGAACAUUCAUACAACAUCUAACAUCCACACAACCAUCUCAUAACAUCCAUACAACCAUCACAGAACAUUCAUACAACCAUCACAGAGCAUUCAUACAACCAUCACAGAACAUUCAUACAACCAUCACAGAACAUCAUACAACCAUCACAGAACAUUCACACAACCAUCACAGAACAUUCAUACAACCAUCACAGAACAUCCAUACAACCAUCACAGAACAUCCAUACAACCAUCACAGAACAUCCAUACAACCAUCACAGAACAUCCAUACAACCACCACAGAACAUUCAUACAACCAUCACAGAACAUCCAUACAACCAUCACAGAACAUUCACACAACCAUCACAGAACAUUCAUACAACCAUCACAGAACAUCCAUACAACCACCACAGAACAUUCAUACAACCAUCACAGAACAUCCAUACAACCAUCACAGAACAUUCAUACAACCACCACAGAACAUCCAUACAACCAUCACAGAACAUUCAUACAACCACCACAGAACAUCCAUACAACCACAAUAUAACAUCCAUACAACCACCACAGAACAUCCAUACAACCAUCACAGAACAUCCAUACAACCAUCACAGAACAUCCAUACAACCAUCACAGAACAUUCACACAACCAUCACAGAACAUCCAUACAACCAUCACAGAACAUCCAUACAACCACCACAGAACAUCCAUACAACCAUCACAGAACAUCCAUACAACCAUCACAGAACAUUCACACAACCAUCACAGAACAUCCAUACAACCAUCACAGAACAUCCAUACAACCAUCACAGAACAUCCAUACAACGAUCACAGAACAUUCAUACAACCAUCACAGAACAUCCAUACAACCAUCACAGAACAUUCAUACAACCAUCACAGAACAUUCACACAACCAUCACAGAACAUCCAUACAACCAUCACAGAACAUCCGUACAACCACCACAGAACAUCCAUACAACCAUCACAGAACAUCCAUACAACCAUCACAGAACAUCAUACAACCAUCACAGAACAUCCACACAACCAUCACAGAACAUCCACACAACCAUCACAGAACAUCCAUACAACCAUCACAGAACAUUCAUACAAAUUCCAUCCAACAGCCAGGUAACUCAGGCAGCUAAACCAGAGCAACUCAGGCAGCUGAACCAGAGCAACUCAGGCAGCUAAACCAGAGCAACUCAGGCAGCUGAACCAGAGCAACUCAGGCAGCUGAACCAGAGCAACUCAGGCAGCUAAACCAGAGCAACUCAGGCAGCUGAACCAGAGCAACUCAGGCAGCUGAACCAGAGCAACUCAGGCAGCUGAACCAGAGCAACUCAGGCAGCUGAACCAGAGCAACUCAGGCAGCUGAACCAGAGCAACUCAGGCAGCUGAACCAGAGCAACUCAGGCAGCUAAACCAGAGCAACUCAGGCAGCUGAACCAGAGCAACUCAGGCAGCUGAACCAGAGCAACUCAGGCAGCUAAACCAGAGCAACUCAGGCAGCUGAACCAGAGUUAACUAAGUCACUAAAGCUUUGAUGCAGGGAGAGGGAUUGACAGGCGGACAGAGUAAGGAAUGAGAGUUUAAACCAGAGGUUAUAUUUAAUGAGAAGGAGAUUCAUAGAUUAUAAUCCUACUGGAGUUGGACAAAGCUAUAUGAUGUUAAUACAGACACCACUAUAAACAAUCCAACCCAAAUAUAGACCUGUUAACAACCUGAGAAUGGAGAUCCUUUACAACAGCAUUGGAGGAGGAGAGGAGGGGGAGAGGAAGGGGAGAGGAAGGGGAGAGGAAGGGGAGAGGAAGGGGAGAGGAAGGGGAGAGGAGGAGGAGAGGAAGGGGAGAGGAAGGGGAGAGGAGGAGGAGAGGAAGGGGAGAGGAAGGGGAGAGGAGGGGGAGAGGAAGGGGAGAGGAGGAGGAGAGGAAGGGGAGAGGAAGGGGAGAGGAGGAGGAGAGGAAGGGGAGAGGAGGAGAGGAGGAGGAGA